AGCGAACGGACGAGAAGCUUGCUUCUCUGAUGUUAGCGGCGGACGGGUGAGUAACACGUGGAUAACCUACCUAUAAGACUGGGAUAACUUCGGGAAACCGGAGCUAAUACCGGAUAAUAUUUUGAACCGCAUGGUUCAAAAGUGAAAGACGGUCUUGCUGUCACUUAUAGAUGGAUCCGCGCUGCAUUAGCUAGUUGGUAAGGUAACGGCUUACCAAGGCAACGAUGCAUAGCCGACCUGAGAGGGUGAUCGGCCACACUGGAACUGAGACACGGUCCAGACUCCUACGGGAGGCAGCAGUAGGGAAUCUUCCGCAAUGGGCGAAAGCCUGACGGAGCAACGCCGCGUGAGUGAUGAAGGUCUUCGGAUCGUAAAACUCUGUUAUUAGGGAAGAACAUAUGUGUAAGUAACUGUGCACAUCUUGACGGUACCUAAUCAGAAAGCCACGGCUAACUACGUGCCAGCAGCCGCGGUAAUACGUAGGUGGCAAGCGUUAUCCGGAAUUAUUGGGCGUAAAGCGCGCGUAGGCGGUUUUUUAAGUCUGAUGUGAAAGCCCACGGCUCAACCGUGGAGGGUCAUUGGAAACUGGAAAACUUGAGUGCAGAAGAGGAAAGUGGAAUUCCAUGUGUAGCGGUGAAAUGCGCAGAGAUAUGGAGGAACACCAGUGGCGAAGGCGACUUUCUGG
RNAcentral lists this ribosomal RNA (685 nucleotides) under uncultured Staphylococcus sp. Its description in RNAcentral is "bacterial SSU rRNA". It matches the Rfam family "Bacterial small subunit ribosomal RNA", at positions 65 to 732 of the family's 1533-position model. Lineage: Bacteria; Bacillati; Bacillota; Bacilli; Caryophanales; Staphylococcaceae. The record is from RNAcentral.